RNAcentral lists this ribosomal RNA (329 nucleotides) under uncultured Leptolinea sp. RNAcentral describes it as "bacterial SSU rRNA". It matches the Rfam family "Bacterial small subunit ribosomal RNA", at positions 1039 to 1382 of the family's 1533-position model. Lineage: Bacteria; Bacillati; Chloroflexota; Anaerolineae; Anaerolineales; Anaerolineaceae. The record is from RNAcentral.
UGCUGCAUGGCUGUCGUCAGCUCGUGUCGUGAGAUGUUCGGUUAAGUCCGCUAACGAGCGCAACCCUCGUCGUGUGUUAUACGUGUCACACGAUACUGCCGGUAUCAAGCCGGAGGAAGGUGGGGAUGAUGUCAAGUCAGCAUGGCCUUUAUAUCCUGGGCUACACACACGCUACAAUGGCAGAUACAAUAGGUUGCGAAACCGCGAGGUGGAGCCAAUCCUCAAAGUCUGUCUCAGUUCAGAUUGUAGGCUGCAACUCGCCUGCAUGAAGUUGGAGUUGCUAGUAAACGCAGGUCAGCUAUACUGCGUUGAAUACGUUCCCGGGGUUU